RNAcentral lists this ribosomal RNA (253 nucleotides) under uncultured bacterium. Its description in RNAcentral is "partial 16S ribosomal RNA". It matches the Rfam family "Bacterial small subunit ribosomal RNA", at positions 524 to 776 of the family's 1533-position model. The record is from RNAcentral.
UACGAAGGGGGCUAGCGUUGCUCGGAAUCACUGGGCGUAAAGCGCACGUAGGCGGAUUUGUAAGUCAGGGGUGAAAUCCCGGGGCUCAACCUCGGAACUGCCUUUGAUACUGCAAAUCUCGAGUCCGGAAGAGGUGAGUGGAAUUCCUAGUGUAGAGGUGAAAUUCGUAGAUAUCAGGAAGAACACCCGUGGCGAAGGCGGCUCUCUGGGACGUGACUGACGCUGAGACGCGAAAGCGUGGGGAGCAAACAGG